Molecule: long non-coding RNA, 311 nt
Organism: Vespa mandarinia (Asian giant hornet)
Lineage: Eukaryota; Metazoa; Arthropoda; Insecta; Hymenoptera; Vespidae
Source: RefSeq, a predicted model, not a curated record
CGGCAGGGAAUUUUUUUUUUCAUUAUUUCCACUAUUUCCUUAUUAAAUAAAUGUAGAAAUUAUUUUUGUUAUUGUUUUUGUUUUAUUACAAUUUAUCAUAACAUUAAAUUAUAUCAGAACGAUAAUUCGAAACAACGAAAUAAUUCGAUUAUAAGUAUCAGACAUAUAGAUCUGAAAGUUGAGAGAGAAAGAAUGAAGAAAGGAAGAGAUAAAAAAGAAAGAAACAAAAAAGAGGAACAAUAGGAAAAAGAAACAAAUGGAAUUAAUGAAAUUCUACAUAUGAACGAAAUGGAAUAGUAGAUAAAUAAAAA